UCUUACGAACUUCUCAGUUUUCUCACUUAGGAUGUUCUUAGAUUUUUAUCUUAAGAACGCUCGCGAGGUUUUUGAACCAACAGUUGACCGACAGUUGAGAGAAAUUGAUUUGUGAAAAAUGGAGGACAUCGCCUGUAAACGAAGCAAAAACUUCUCCAAACAGGAGUUGGAGGUGAUGGUCGAUGAGAUCAUCAUCCGAAAAAGAUUAUUGUUUGGCAAGCUAGACAGUAUGAUAACGUCGGAAAACAAAAAGAGGGCGUGGGCCAAAGUUCCCCAGACUGUAUCUGCAGUGGCGGAUAUAGGAAUCGUUCGAGAUGUCAACGCUGUAAAAAAAAAAGUGAGUGGACAUCAAAUCUAUUGUAAAAAAGAAGGGAACGGAGAGGGCAAGAGAGUUGAAAAAAACCGGAGGAGGGAAGACGACAAUCCAGCUGGACCCACUGGAGGAGAAAUUGUUGGGGGCGAUUGCCGAAACGUUAGUUGAAGGAGUAGAUGGAGGAGUGGACACUGGAGAACCGGGAGAAGACGAUAGCCUGCAAGCAGGAGAUACUUUGGUCGUAAUAGCAGUCAACCAGGAUGCAGAACCAUCCCACACAAUCAAUGCAGCUGAACCAACCCAAGCCCUUACAAACCAUCAAAACCUGUUACAGAGUCCCGGAGAUGACCUGACAUUAUGCCAGCUAUUCUUGGAAACCUUUCAUACACCUGCCACAUCCAGAAGCAACACGGAGGACAUGGUCUCCCUUCAGCGUCAGCUUUUGGAGGAAGUUAAAAUGCUGAGGCAUACUCCGGAGCAACUCCUGCAGGUGGAGAGGGAGAAGCUGCUCGUCGAGAGGGAGAAGCUUCGCCUUGCCCAAGACAAGUUUGAUUUAAAAAAAAAUGAAUGUUGAACCUAGAAUAAAAUAGCAAUCACUCAGAGGUUUUCAUGUGUUGUUUAUUGUGGUUUUUCUUCACAUGAAUCUCCUCCUUAUGAGGUCUUGUCUCACUUGCAUGCCAGUGUUGCAUGGGGCAGGGACUGGGACAUCUCCCUCGGGGUCAUCAUCUUCUGGGAUGUCAGGGAUUGGCAAGCGGUACAUAAUGCAGAUGUUGUGGAGGAUAAAAGCACAGGUAAUAAUUGUACAUGCCCUCUCAGGAGCAGGGGCGGAUCUAGCCAUUUUGGGGCCCUAGGCAAAAUAUAGACAUGGGGCCCUCAUUUUUGAAACACGUACACAAAACAAAUAACCAUCCCAAUACUCUUAGAAUCGCAAUAAACCCAUAGUGCACUGCCACUCAACUCUCCACAGUAAAAUCAGUUUCAGAUUUCUCCAGCCUUUGCCAAAAUUACAUGUUUAUUACUCAAACGAGAGAGAGAGAGAGAGAGAGAGAGAGAGAGAGAGAGAGAGAGAGAGAGAGAGAGAGAGAGAGAGAGAGA
This is a long non-coding RNA of Gadus macrocephalus (Pacific cod), 1408 nucleotides long. RefSeq lists it as uncharacterized. The record is from RefSeq and is a predicted model, not a curated record. The transcript is spliced from 3 exons. NCBI's taxonomy places the organism in Eukaryota, Metazoa, Chordata, Actinopteri, Gadiformes, Gadidae.